Regulatory RNA element from Roseburia sp. CAG:18, 168 nucleotides. The record is from Rfam. Lineage: Bacteria; Bacillati; Bacillota; Clostridia; Lachnospirales; Lachnospiraceae.
UUCUCUUGCAUUUUAGAGGCUGUUGGAAUUUUUUCGAUUUUCAGCAAGCCUCGUACAUGGAUGUACGAGGCAGGUGGUCACUGAGCCCGGAAGGCGAAUGACCACCGGUUGCGUCCGCCUGAUAAUAAUUGAAAUAAAAAUUCCUACAGCCUCUUAAUUGCAAGGAGC